AUGGGGGCGGAUGGGAAGAAGCCGUACGUGAUCGCCGUGAUCAUACAGGUGAUCUACACCGGCAUGUUCGUCGUCUCCAAGGCGGCCUUCAACCAGGGGUUCAGCACCUACGUCUUCAUCUUCUACCGCCAGGCCGCCGCGUCUCUCCUCUUGCUACCACUCGCCAUUGCCCUCGAGAGGAAAAACGCGUGGGCAAUGUCGUUCCGGUUGCUCCUGAAGCUGUUCAUGUUUGCCUUGAUCGGGACUACAUUUAGCUUGAAUCUGUACAACGUGAGCCUCAAGUUGACAUCUGCAACCGUGGGAUCUGCGACCAGCAACUCCAUGCCGGUGGUCACCUUCUUCAUAGCGCUUCUGCUGAGGAUGGAGGUGGUGAAGCUGAGGAGCCCCUCGGGCAUGGCCAAGGUGGCCGGCGUGGGGCUCUGCCUCGCCGGGGUGCUCGUCAUCGCCUUCUACGUGGGGCCGUCCCUGAACCCGGUGAACCACCACCGCGCCCUGGCUGCCGCGACCGGAGACGCCGGCGCGACGAGGGGGACGUGGAUCAUGGGCACCUUCCUCAUGGUGCUCGCCAACGUGACGUGGUCCCUGUGGAUCGUCCUGCAGGCCGCGCUGCUCAAGGAGUACCCCAACAAGCUGCUCGUGACGGCGACGCAGUGCGUCUUCAGCGCCGGCCAGUGCUUCGUCGUCGCGGCGGUCGCUGAGAGGGACUUCUCCAGGUGGCAGCUCCGCUUCGACGUCACCUUGCUCGCCGUCCUCUACACCGGGUUCGUGGUGACGGGGGUGUCCUACUACCUGCAAGCAUGGUGCGCGGACAUGAAAGGGCCGGUCUUCCUCGCCGUGUGGACCCCGCUCUGCUUCGUCCUCACCAUUUUCUGCUCCUCCUUCUUCCUCGGAGAGAUCGUUCACCUCGGCAGUAUCUUGGGUGGAGUCCUUCUCGUUGGAGGUCUGUACAGCGUGCUGUGGGGCAAAAGCAAGGAGAACCGGAUUGCGCCAUGUGGCGAGACGAAUAUGAUCCAUGGCGUGGAGGGCGAGAAUUCUGCAGAUGAUGAGGAGAAGAACGAGAGGAGCAACCAAGUUAACGGGGAGAGGGAGCACGAUAAGGAAGUAACGAUGUCGCCGGCUGAACAAGUCUGA
RNAcentral lists this ribosomal RNA (1131 nucleotides) under Triticum aestivum (bread wheat). RNAcentral's name for it is "partial small subunit ribosomal RNA". Lineage: Eukaryota; Viridiplantae; Streptophyta; Magnoliopsida; Poales; Poaceae. The record is from RNAcentral.